Puma concolor (puma) is the source of this 105-nucleotide small nuclear RNA. NCBI's taxonomy places the organism in Eukaryota, Metazoa, Chordata, Mammalia, Carnivora, Felidae. The record is from RefSeq and is a predicted model, not a curated record.
GCUCACUUCAGCAGUACAUACCAAAAUUGGAAUGAUUUAGAGAAGAUUAGCAUGGCCACCCUGUGCAAGAAUGACAUGCAAAUUCUUGAAGUGUUCCAUAUUUUA